GUGGGGAAUAUUGGACAAUGGGCGCAAGCCUGAUCCAGCCAUGCCGCGUGAGUGAUGAAGGCCCUAGGGUUGUAAAGCUCUUUCACCGGUGAAGAUAAUGACGGUAACCGGAGAAGAAGCCCCGGCUAACUUCGUGCCAGCAGCCGCGGUAAUACGAAGGGGGCUAGCGUUGUUCGGAAUUACUGGGCGUAAAGCGCACGUAGGCGGGUAUUUAAGUCAGGGGUGAAAUCCCGGAGCUCAACUCCGGAACUGCCUUUGAUACUGGGUACCUAGAGUAUGGAAGAGGUAAGUGGAAUUCCGAGUGUAGAGGUGAAAUUCGUAGAUCUUCGGAGGAACACCAGUGGCGAAGGCGGCUUACUGGUCCAUUACUGACGCUGAGGUGCGAAAGCGUGGGGAGCAAACAGGAUUAGAUACCCGGGUAGUCC
This 425-nucleotide ribosomal RNA is filed under the name uncultured bacterium. Its description in RNAcentral is "partial 16S ribosomal RNA". It matches the Rfam family "Bacterial small subunit ribosomal RNA", at positions 354 to 796 of the family's 1533-position model. The record is from RNAcentral.